CAGCAGCCGCGGGAAUACAGAGGUCCCAAGCGUUGUUCGGAUUCACUGGGCGUAAAGGGUGCGUAGGCGGUUGGGUAAGUUUGACGUGAAAUCUCCGGGCCUAACCCGGAAACUGCGUUGAAUACUAUCCAGCUAGAGGAUUGGAAGGGAGACUGGAAUACUUGGUGUAGCAGUGAAAUGCGUAGAUAUCAAGUGGAACACCAGUGGCGAAGGCGAGUCUCUGGACAAUUCCUGACGCUGAGGCACGAAAGCCAGGGGAGCAAACGGGAUUAGAUACCCCCGUAGUCCCUGUCUCUUAUAC
Molecule: ribosomal RNA, 301 nt
Filed under: uncultured bacterium
Lineage: Bacteria
Description: partial 16S ribosomal RNA
Rfam family: Bacterial small subunit ribosomal RNA
Source: RNAcentral